Molecule: long non-coding RNA, 952 nt
Filed under: Betta splendens (Siamese fighting fish)
Lineage: Eukaryota; Metazoa; Chordata; Actinopteri; Anabantiformes; Osphronemidae
Description: lncRNA (ENSBSLG00000006384.1)
Source: RNAcentral
AUGAUUCCAGAUGAUCACACGCUUGGAUCCAGGCUUGUUUCCAGCUUUUCUAACGUGAUUUGCGAAGUUCGUAUAGGUCUUCGUUUGUGUCUCACUGGUCCACGGUCUCUUCUAGACCCAGACGUCCUCCUUUCCCUGCACAAAGAGAUAAUACCAGGGAUGAUGGGAGUCUGCUGUUUUGGCCAAUCCAAUGUUUGCCCUGGCCCCAGAGAAGAGGAGCCGGAGACCAGGGCAAUGACACUUCAGCCAGCAGUCAGAGAGGUUGCACUGGAACUGCAGAAGAAAACAUUCCGCUGAAAGCCAGUUCUUCUUCUGCUGUUCGUCAUGUGGAUGGGGGACCAGCUAGAGAGGACAGCUGAAGUCCUCACACAUGACCAGUGGCUGCAGGCCUAACACUGUGGACAAUCUUUUUUCCUUUUUAACCAUAAAAACAAUGGUUAGCAUUAUGGUGCCAGAGAACCUACAGGUUACGGUGUUAAUUCACGGUGCUCAAUAUUCUCACGGUGGAGCCAGCAUAACUCUUACCUUAUGCAGUAUGUUGUGAAUGUGGUCAUCAUCUCACCUAUGAGUUCUCUCGGUUGUACUAUGGCAGUCAUAAUAGGUUUUACGUAUUGUAGAAUUGUCCUGUUAAUUAUGCCACUGUUUUUGCUCCAUUUAUUGGACAUGUUUGUGCCAUGAAAGUACAGUAUCAACCUAUGAAGUGGGUCCUACACUGAGGCCAAAGUCUGGCUGUAUCUACUGACAGAAAACACCCAUCCAAAUGUUUUCAGGUUCAUGGUGAAGCUGUGUGAUGUUUGACCUUUUUUUCUUUUGCUUUAGCGGAUUUUAGUGCCUUAGAUGAAUGAUUUUGACAACUGCACUAUCUGUAGCUAAAGAAAACGGCGCAGACCGGUUUCUACUCUCUUGUACUGUAGGCUAUGAAGUUUGUAAUAAAACUGAAGGAAUUACAACA